RNAcentral lists this ribosomal RNA (627 nucleotides) under uncultured fungus. RNAcentral's name for it is "eukaryotic LSU rRNA". It matches the Rfam family "Eukaryotic large subunit ribosomal RNA", at positions 23 to 664 of the family's 3401-position model. Lineage: Eukaryota; Fungi. The record is from RNAcentral.
ACCCGCUGAACUUAAGCAUAUCAAUAAGCGGAGGAAAAGAAACCAACAGGGAUUACCUCAGUAACGGCGAGUGAAGCGGUAACAGCUCAAAUUUGAAAUCUGGGUCUUUCAGGCUCCGAGUUGUAAUUUGUAGAAGAUGCUUCGGGUGUAGCUCCGGUCUAAGUUCCUUGGAACAGGACGUCAUAGAGGGUGAGAAUCCCGUAUGUGACUGGGUGCUUUCGCUCAUGUGAAGCUCUUUCAACGAGUCGAGUUGUUUGGGAAUGCAGCUCAAAAUGGGUGGUAUAUUUCAUCUAAAGCUAAAUAUUGGCCAGAGACCGAUAGCGCACAAGUAGAGUGAUCGAAAGAUGAAAAGCACUUUGGAAAGAGAGUUAAACAGUACGUGAAAUUGUUGAAAGGGAAGCGCUUGCAACCAGACUUGCACGUUGUCGAUCAUCCGAGGUUUUCCCCGGUGCACUCGAUUUCGUUCAGGCCAGCAUCGGUUUCAGUGGUUGGAUAAAGGCCUUAGGAAUGUGGCACCUCUCGGGGUGUGUUAUAGCCUAAGGUGCAAUGCAGCCUACUGGGACCGAGGACCGCGCUUCGGCUAGGAUGCUGGCGUAAUGGUUGUAAGCGACCCGUCUUGAAACACGG